CUACCCUUGACAUGUAUGGAACCCUGCUGAGAGGUGGGGGUGCCCGAAAGGGAGCCAUAACACAGGUGCUGCAUGGCUGUCGUCAGCUCGUGUCGUGAGAUGUUGGGUUAAGUCCCGCAACGAGCGCAACCCUUGUCCCUAGUUGCUACGCAAGAGCACUCUAGGAAGACUGCCGGUGACAAACCGGAGGAAGGUGGGGAUGACGUCAAGUCCUCAUGGCCCUUAUGGGUAGGGCUUCACACGUCAUACAAUGGUCGGAACAGAGGGUCGCCAACCCGCGAGGGGGAGCCAAUCCCAGAAAACCGAUCGUAGUCCGGAUCGCACUCUGCAACUCGAGUGCGUGAAGCUGGAAUCGCUAGUAAUCGCGGAUCAGCAUGCCGCGGUGAAUACGUUCCC
RNAcentral lists this ribosomal RNA (396 nucleotides) under uncultured bacterium. Its description in RNAcentral is "bacterial SSU rRNA". It matches the Rfam family "Bacterial small subunit ribosomal RNA", at positions 975 to 1375 of the family's 1533-position model. The record is from RNAcentral.